Non-coding RNA from Salmo salar (Atlantic salmon), 59 nucleotides. NCBI's taxonomy places the organism in Eukaryota, Metazoa, Chordata, Actinopteri, Salmoniformes, Salmonidae. The record is from Rfam.
UAUUUCAAGACAUGGCAUAUAAGUCGCUCUGGAUAAGAGCGUCUGCUAAAUGACGUAAA